CCUACGGGAGGCUGCAGUGGGGAAUAUUGCACAAUGGGCGCAAGCCUGAUGCAGCCAUGCCGCGUGUGUGAAGAAGGCCUUCGGGUUGUAAAGCACUUUCAGCGGGGAGGAAGGCGUUAAGGUUAAUAACCUUGUCGAUUGACGUUACCCGCGGAAGAAGCACCGGCUAACUCCGUGCCAGCAGCCGCGGUAAUACGGAGGGUGCAAGCGUUAAUCGGAAUUACUGGGCGUAAAGCGCACGCAGGCGGUCUGUCAAGUCGGAUGUGAAAUCCCCGGGCUCAACCUGGGAACUGCAUUCGAAACUGGCAGGCUAGAGUCUUGUAGAGGGGGGUAGAAUUCCAGGUGUAGCGGUGAAAUGCGUAGAGAUCUGGAGGAAUACCGGCGGCGAAGGCGGCCCCCUGGACAAAGACUGACGCUCAGGUGCGAAAGCGUGGGGAGCAAACAGGAUUAGAUACCCGAGUAGUC
This 465-nucleotide ribosomal RNA is filed under the name uncultured Klebsiella sp. Its description in RNAcentral is "bacterial SSU rRNA". It matches the Rfam family "Bacterial small subunit ribosomal RNA", at positions 338 to 795 of the family's 1533-position model. The record is from RNAcentral. Lineage: Bacteria; Pseudomonadati; Pseudomonadota; Gammaproteobacteria; Enterobacterales; Enterobacteriaceae.